Small nuclear RNA from Mobula hypostoma (lesser devil ray), 103 nucleotides. NCBI's taxonomy places the organism in Eukaryota, Metazoa, Chordata, Chondrichthyes, Myliobatiformes, Myliobatidae. The record is from RefSeq and is a predicted model, not a curated record.
GUGCUUUUGCAGCAUAUAGACAAAAACUGGAGCAGUAUGGAGAAGAUUAGCAUGGUAGCUGCACAAAAAUAAUAUUCAGAUCCAGGAAGCAUUGCGUUUUGUA